ACGCUGACACCUACGGGAAGCAGCAGUGGGGAAUAUUGCACAAUGGGGGGAACCCUGAUGCAGCGACGCCGCGUGAGGGAAGAAGGUUUUUCGGAUUGUAAACCUCUGUCCUUGGUGACGAUAAUGACGGUAGCCAAGGAGGAAGCCACGGCUAACUACGUGCCAGCAGCCGCGGUAAUCUGAGCGGGCUGGCAAGGC
This 198-nucleotide ribosomal RNA is filed under the name uncultured bacterium. RNAcentral describes it as "partial 16S ribosomal RNA". It matches the Rfam family "Bacterial small subunit ribosomal RNA", at positions 329 to 539 of the family's 1533-position model. The record is from RNAcentral.